This 122-nucleotide ribosomal RNA is filed under the name Methanothrix sp. Lineage: Archaea; Methanobacteriati; Methanobacteriota; Methanomicrobia; Methanotrichales; Methanotrichaceae. The record is from RNAcentral.
CCUGGCGGCCAUAGCGGCAGGGAGACUCCUGAACCCUUCCCGAACUCAGAAGAUAAGCCUGCCCGCGUUUGACACUGUACUCAGGUGCGCGAGCCCUCGGGAAAUGUCAAUCGCUGCCAUGC